GUGGAAGAAAUCUCUAAAAUUGCUAUUUUACAGCAACCUUUGCUCAUUUUCCUGCAAAUUAAAGACAGACUUUGUUUUCUCUCUGUUUUUUUAAAUUCAGUCAGAGAUGGCUUCACCAUGGAGUCACGCACAUGAGAACACUAGACUGUGGUCCCACACAUUGACUGUAAUGGUUUUCCCAUGUACCCUGGCUCCUGGUUGAUCCGGAGGUUUUAAAACAGACCUUUAAGCUACAGGGUUUUCCUUGCCCUUUGAGAAACAUCUUGCUUGAAUCAAGAAAAGUCAUCCAUCCUAUGUCUUCUUGUACAGAUCUUACCUAUCCCAGACGAGCAUUGGUCAACGGCCUGGAUCCCAUAUACCUCAAGACUGUGGGAAGUCUGAAUGAUAGGGUCUGGGCCACCAAUAUGAGAAUCCCUACCAAUUUUGAGUGCUCUGUGGGAAAGCUAAUGCAGCAAGAGCAUGAAAAAAAAUUGAGGAUGGCACAUGAUACAGAAUUUGAGCUUGGCGACAAAGAAACCAGGAGGAAAUCCUUGCAACUUCAGUUCCCCUCACUAGCUGUGCAUUGCAUUAUUGCUGAAGUACAUGCAAGCAUCUGGAAUUUAGCCCCUGUCUCAAUUGACAUCUGUUCAGGCAGUAGAUAG
This 641-nucleotide long non-coding RNA is filed under the name Numida meleagris (helmeted guineafowl). RNAcentral's name for it is "lncRNA (ENSNMEG00000018849.1)". The record is from RNAcentral. Lineage: Eukaryota; Metazoa; Chordata; Aves; Galliformes; Numididae.